Molecule: ribosomal RNA, 2106 nt
Filed under: Triticum aestivum (bread wheat)
Lineage: Eukaryota; Viridiplantae; Streptophyta; Magnoliopsida; Poales; Poaceae
Description: partial small subunit ribosomal RNA
Source: RNAcentral
AUGGAGGACAAGAUGAAAGAUCUGGAGGCCGUGCUGCUCGACGCCGACGACAAGUCGCGCCGGGGAGGAGUACACGGGAGAGUGUACGAGCGGUGGCUUACAAAGUUCAACGUGGAGGACGUGCUUGAUGAGCUGGACGCCAAUGAACUCAUGAGCAAGACCCAAUCCAAGGUCAGCAUAUGGUUUUCCAGACACAAUCAAUUCCUGCAGCGAAUAACCAUGCCCCACAAGAUGCAGACCGUGAUGAAAAAAGUAGACGAGAUUGAAAAGGAAGGCAAAAUGAGGCUCAAUGAUGUGCCUCGAGCAGCAACGGCACAAGGGAACAGGAACAAUGUUACUUUUGCAGCCAACCGGAAUGGAAUGGCGGAAAGGGGUGUCGAGGAGGGGAAGAUAACCAAUCCUGUGCCUCAAGAAGCAAAUGCAGAAUGGAGCAGAAACAAUAAUGAUACUUCUGCAGCCAACUCGGAUGGUGAUGACAUAAAAACUGGAAUAGUGGGGAGAGAUACCGAGAGCGAGAAGACAAUCAAUCAUGUGCCUCAAGCAGCAAAGGCACAAGGGAGCAGAAAUAACGAUACUUUUGCAGACAACUCGAAUGAUGAUGACAUCAAAUCUGGAAUUGCGGGGAGGGGUGUCGAGAAGGACAAUAUAAUUAGCCUGCUACUCACAAGUGAAGGACAAGAUAAUGGUGAUGACAUCCAGGAUAUCUCCAUCAUUCCAGUUGUUGGCCUUGGUGGCAUAGGCAAGACAACAUUGGUUGAAUCAGUUCUUGCUGACAAGAGGGUCAGCGUCUUUGACGUCUUAGUCUGGGUCCAUGUGUCCAAGCAGUUUGAUUUGCACAAAAUUGAGACGGACAUCCUGGAAAGCAUGAUGAGAAGCAAUAUCAAGCUUGACAGCUGGAAUUUAAAAGAAGAACUUGCUAAAAGAAGAUACUUGAUUGUUCUGGAUGAUCUCUGGGAAGAAGAUGGAAAUAAUCUUAAAAAGCUGAAGGAGAUGUUACAGCAUGGGCGCGAGGGUAGCAGGAUUAUAGUAACUACUCGAAAUCUGAGCGUGGUGCAAAAACUGACCACUGGUUCUCUUGCAAAUGGAAGGAAAUUUUGCCCAGUCACUGUGACUGAAAUAAUCAAUCUGGGUGUUUUAAAACCUGAGGACUGUUGGGAAUUAAUGAAGCAAAGGGCAUUUGGGCCUGAUGAUGACCACAGUGGCUUGGAAGAAAUUGGAAAGCAAAUUGCAGCCAAGUGUGGGGGUUUACCGCUCGUGGCAAAUGCUCUUGGGCAUGUAAUGUCAGAGCUGAGGACCGUUCAGGCAUGGGAAGAUAUAAGAGACUCCAAGGUUGAUUUGGGUUUGAAAGAAGGAUAUCAGAAAGAAACAUUAGAGAGGCUAAUGCUGAGCUAUUACUACAUGAAGAUAGAAUUCAAAAUGUGUUUCACGUACUUGGCAGCCUUCCCCAAGGGCUUUGUCAUGGACAACAAUCAUAUAAUCCAGCAAUGGAAUGCACUUGGAUACAUCAAUUCAAGGCACGAUGGUCAAAGGUGCAUUAACUACCUUUUGGGGAUGUCUUUUCUUCGCAUUCCAGGAUACACUUCGGUUAGUCCAAAUCCAUUGCAUUUCAAAGCUCCUCAAGAACUUGUCAUGCAUGAUUUGGUACAUGAUCUUGUAUCAAUAAUUGCUGCUGAUGAAUCCAUUGAUCUGGAUGCUACCAAAAGCACUAGCUGGAACAGAGCUCGUUACUGCCGACAUGCACAGUUAACCAACUUCAACAUUGAUCCUAAGAUUUUCAAAUAUAUUCCAGGCAAGCUUAGAUCACUCCAUUUUAGGGAUUUGGGGGGACUGCAACUCCCGAAAAAGGCAUUUUCUCGAUCCAAGUACAUACGUGUCUUGGACCUAAGUGGACAUUCAGCUAAAGGCCAAUCUGCUCCUAGUACUGUGGUGCUGCCAUCUUCCAUGAAUCAAUUGAAGCUAAUCAGGUAUCUUGAUGCCACAGGCUUACCAAUAACAUCACUUCCGAAGAAUUUUCAUGCACUUCAAAACAUGGAAACUCUUAUUCUCUCCAAUUCCUUGCUUGAAACCUUGCCUGACAGUCUUGUUACUCAUGGAUUUGUGAACUAG